CAGAUGUCGGAGGUGCCGUUCCCCAUUCCCCAUUCCCAGAAUUCCCGGAAUUCCCGGGAUUCCCGGGAUCAGAUCCAGAUGUCGGAGGUGCCGUUCCCCAUUCCCCAUUCCCAGAAUUCCCGCAGAAUUCCCGGGAUAUCACAGCCAGAUGUCGGAGGUGCCGUUCCCCAUUCCCCAUUCCCAGAAUUCCCAGAAUUCCCGCAGAAUUCCCGGGAUCAGAUCCAGAUGUCGGAGGUGCCGUUCCCCAUUCCCCAUUCCCAGAAUUCCCACAGAAUUCCCGGGAUCAGAUCCAGA
This is a long non-coding RNA of Poecile atricapillus (Black-capped chickadee), 294 nucleotides long. RefSeq lists it as uncharacterized. The transcript is spliced from 3 exons. NCBI's taxonomy places the organism in Eukaryota, Metazoa, Chordata, Aves, Passeriformes, Paridae. The record is from RefSeq and is a predicted model, not a curated record.